AAUGAGUCCGUGAAUCCAGAACCUUCUACCCUUAUUUCUUUCUGCAGCAUCAGCAUUUUAAUCUAUUGCACUGACAGUAAUAUGUUGGCUUUCAUUCCAGGAUCCUGAUUGUGUAAACCCCAGAUGUAUGAAUGAGGGCAGUCACCUUGAGAAGUAUCCCUGAAGUCUGGCAAGGAGAGGCUGCACAAUCUGUGCUGUACCACAGUGGCUGAAGAUUUUGGCUGCCAUCCUCUGCAGGGAAAUGAAGGCACAAAGAUGCUAAAGGACACAUCCCAGUUUUAUAAUUUUCUACAUGCUGGAAGUAGGACAGGACCCUGCCUUAGGAGACAAAGACAUUAUAUCUGAAUGCAACUGAAUCCAGGCUGGUGCCUGGCAACCCUUUUGAAGCAGUAAAAGCUUUCAGUUCAGUACCAGCUAGAAACAACUUGGAAACUUUAACUGCAAGUUUGUUCCUGUAUAAAUCCCACGAUAAGCUGCAAGCACUUAUUUCUCCAUCCGCAAAGCAAGAGGAUUGAGCUGGUUUGACCUUAGAACAUGGAAAACAUGGAAAAUUGAAGAAUGGAUCAAGCAGGAGACUUCCUUGGCCUUUUGGAACAUGCCCAGCUAGUGAAGGCACUGGUUAUGUGGCAUAGCUGGCAUGGACAAAUAUUUACAGUUCAUGCAGCAAAGAAGACAAUCACCUAUGGCAUCCUUCUGCUGCUCUGGAGGUACAGCUACCCAUGCUUCAGUACAGUAAACUCCAGUAUUGCCACUAACAUACAAGAUAAAACAGAGAAAGAACAGACCCCUUGCAACAGCAACAAGAAUCUCUUCAGUACCUGAGAUCUCUUCACUUGUGAGUAGAAAGCACAGAGAAAUAAAUAUCAUAAGAAUGGCACUAAGGACAAGAUAGACUUAUUUAUAUUUAAUAGGACUUUGUAGACUUCUGUGGCCUGAUUGCAGUGACAUGGUGUGUAAAUGAUAAAAUUUCAUUGGAUUAAAAGGAGUUUCUCUUUUAUCUGGAGUUAGCCAGCAGUUGCUCUGAAAUCACCAGAUUGUACCACUAUUUAUCGGGAAAAUUCUUAUUCCAAGCAUCUGAGUUUAUCCCUUCAGGCAUAGUUAGGCCAUAUGUAGUCACAGCAUUUCAAAUUUUGCUUGGAGCAUAAAUAUGAGGCUAGACAAUGAAAAGAGAGUUUUUAUACAUCCUUACAAUUUAUAUUUUAGCAUAUAAUGAGCAAGUGUUCCCAUGUAUGAUGAUUAGGUGCUUAUUUCCUCUGCAAGUCAAUGGUCAUGGAUUUUCUCAUCAUAAACUGUGUACUUCCAUUUCCUCCCUUGCUCUUUGUAUUCACCUCUGCAUUGUUAAACAAUUAACUAGCAGAAGCUGUUAAUAUUAUGUUAAAAAAUUCAUCCUAUUUCACGGUUUUUUUCCAGUCUUGUUACACUGUUUUCAUGUGAAAACAUGGAGGAAAACACUUAGCAAAACAAAAGACAUGUAAAAUAUCAGAAGUAGGACAUUUGUAGAUAAUCUUCAAAACCUAUUGCCAUAUGAAUUAAAGAAUGAAAACCAUCAACAUUUUGUAGCUUCUAAGAGUUUUUUUUCUUGUAUAUAUAUAUGAACAUUUGUUCUGCUUUAAAGGAUGUAUGUGUAUGAAGCAUUUCUCAAUAAAAAGCCUCAAAAUCAUG
Molecule: long non-coding RNA, 1662 nt
Organism: Catharus ustulatus (Swainson's thrush)
Lineage: Eukaryota; Metazoa; Chordata; Aves; Passeriformes; Turdidae
Exons: 4
Source: RefSeq, a predicted model, not a curated record